CCUCCUAGAGGAUCUAUAAAUCAUAUAUUAUACCGAAAAGUAAAAGGCUAUCCAAAUUGAGAUGGUAAAACUUGACACAUGCCUUCCCAGUAUAGUCCCUUUUCUUUUGAAUCAAAUAUCCGGUUUGGAAUUAAUAUUGAUGACAACAUUUUUCAAAAUUUGCUUCAAAAUAAAAACCUUUUUAUAAGUUUAAAGUGCCACUGCGAUGGAAAAUUGUGCUGUCUUUUUAUUGUAAAUUCAGAAAGUAUAUCAGUAGAUAAACAACGUUACCAAAUAUCAGCGUCCAAUUCCAUUUUUUUCUGCCUUUUUUUCAACGCAAACAUGCAAAUUUUUCGGCCGCCAUUACUGAGUCAUCAAUCAACCUCGCAAGCCAGGGUCUUUUAAGGCCCUGUCACACUAUUGCGUAUGAGAAAAACGUAUGAGAAACGUAUGAAAGUUAAUGAAAUAAUUUUCAUACGCACAAAAAUCCUUUGAAAUGCCAGCGUAUGAGUACCGUACAUCUGACCGUAUUCAGCGUGUGCCUAGAGUAUGCUUAUCGUAUAAACCAUACGUCCGGUACGCACAAAAUUUUUGAGCAUGCUUAAAAAAAAAUUUCUGUCUCGCCGUAUGCCAGCAUACGCCACCGUACGCUGUAUGUCAGAAAGCUUGGAAAAUCGUUUCGCAUAACGACUUUGUAAAACUUUUUUACCAUUAUAAUUGUAAAACAUUUAUAAGAAUUGAUUUAGUAUGCGAAAUCCUAAAGAAUAUGGGAAGUUUGUUUCAAUUAUUUAUUUUAUGACCGCUUUGUAUAUUUAUAUAGACUUUGUUCUUCAUGUUCAAGUCUUUCCUAUGCAUUGUUUGCGAAC
Molecule: non-coding RNA, 845 nt
Organism: Paramuricea clavata
Lineage: Eukaryota; Metazoa; Cnidaria; Anthozoa; Malacalcyonacea; Plexauridae
Source: the annotation of a GenBank genome assembly